UGGGAUGUAGCCGAACGGUAGAGGCGGCGGUCUUUGAAAUCGUGACCCUUGUAGGUUCGAAUCCUACCAUCCCAG
Molecule: transfer RNA, 75 nt
Filed under: Acidobacteriota bacterium
Lineage: Bacteria; Pseudomonadati; Acidobacteriota
Also listed under: 1 other name
Description: Acidobacteria bacterium tRNA-Gln
Rfam family: tRNA
About the family: Transfer RNA (tRNA) molecules are approximately 80 nucleotides in length. Their secondary structure includes four short double-helical elements and three loops (D, anti-codon, and T loops).
Source: RNAcentral